This is a long non-coding RNA of Gasterosteus aculeatus aculeatus (three-spined stickleback), 1031 nucleotides long. Lineage: Eukaryota; Metazoa; Chordata; Actinopteri; Perciformes; Gasterosteidae. The record is from Ensembl.
UCCACCACCAACGCACUCAUUUUGGACUCAUCCGCUGUUGCUGCUGCUGUUGCUGCUGUUGCUGGUUCCGCUACUAUUGCUGUGCACACGGAUUCUUUGCAAAAUGCAGGCUGCAUAUCGCAUGGAGCAGGCCGCAGAGACUGACAUAGUCUCUGAAAUCUCAGGGACCCAGGGGGGAUGGACCCCGCCCACUUCUCCUUCACCUCCAGCUCUGAUGGUUCACACCCCACCUCAGACUCCGCCUCCCGGGCCGACGGCCACACAAGAAAAAAAAGAAGAAAAGAAGCUCUGUGAACCUCACGAGGUGUUUAAGGAUACUGCACGGUUCCUAGAAUACCUUAGAAUCGGGGUGCUACAUCUGUUGAACAAGGUCUGGGUUAAAUAUAAUAUAGAGAUCUGCUACGGCUGUCAAACAAAUAAUCCCAGUCAGAAAAACCAUCUGUGUUUAUAUCCAUGUGACUGGUUCUACGAACUACACUUUGAUCCGCUGAUGAAAAGGCUCUGGAAUGACAACUUCAUAUCCGCCAUCCUCCUGUUUAUGGAUAUGAAUGACCUUCAGGUCGAUGCAGACCGCAUCCAGGGGGGUGCGGAAGUACUUCUUGACGAGCUGAAAUCUGGAGGCAAUGCGGCUGAAAGUAUCCAGAAAAUGUAUGAUACACUGAUCGGGGAAGAUGAACUCAAAAUGAACCAACUGAAAAAGCUUGGCAGGUUGUGGGGAGAAGUAUCAAACCCGUAUGAAGCAUGGGAGGUACCCGAUGAUGAUGAUGAUGAUGAUGCGACAGACAUUGAUGUGUAAAAACAAUCUAACAUGCUAAAAACAAAAACAAAAAAAUGAAAUCGAAAAUGAAUGAAGUUCUUGAGUGUUUUUAUAACUGAAAAUGUAUUUUUGCUUUUGCAAUGGGGCGAAAUACUACUAUACUAUCAAUCUGCUUGUCACAUGUUGUACAAGAGAAAUAAAAUAUGUUGUAACGAAUUAACUGUCGGUCAUUUAUACUUUGGUAUUAUCAUGGAAGGGACUCUACAGAAGAUUU